This 775-nucleotide ribosomal RNA is filed under the name uncultured bacterium. Its description in RNAcentral is "bacterial SSU rRNA". It matches the Rfam family "Bacterial small subunit ribosomal RNA", at positions 40 to 795 of the family's 1533-position model. The record is from RNAcentral.
CUGCGGGUGCUACCAUGCAAGUCGAACGCGAAAGCGGCUUCGGCCGCGAGUAGAGUGGCAAACGGGUGAGUAACACGUGGGUGACCUGCCUUCGAGUGGGGGAUAACGUCUCGAAAGGGACGCUAAUACCGCAUAACAUCCUGCCUUUGAACAGGCGGAGAUCAAAGCCGGGGACCGCAAGGCCCGGCGCUUGGAGAGGGGCCCGCGCCGGAUUAGCUAGUUGGUGAGGUAACGGCCCACCAAGGCGACGAUCCGUAGCCGGCCUGAGAGGGCGGACGGCCACACUGGGACUGAGACACGGCCCAGACUCCUACGGGAGGCAGCAGUGGGGAAUUGUUCGCAAUGGGCGCAAGCCUGACGACGCAACGCCGCGUGGAGGACGAAGAUCUUCGGAUCGUAAACUCCUGUCGAGCGGGACGAAUGGCCCGGGACCUAAUACGUUCUGGGAGUGACGGUACCGCUAAAGGAAGCCCCGGCUAACUCCGUGCCAGCAGCCGCGGUAAUACGGGGGGGGCCAGCGUUGUUCGGAAUUACUGGGCGUAAAGGGCGCGUAGGCGGCCUUCUAAGUCGGACGUGAAAUCCCUCGGCUCAACCGGGGAACUGCGUCCGAUACUGGAGGGCUUGGAUCCGAGAGAGGGAUGCGGAAUUCCAGGUGUAGCGGUGAAAUGCGUAGAUAUCUGGAGGAACACCGGUGGCGAAGGCGGCAUCCUGGACCGGCAUCGACGCUGAGGCGCGAAAGCCAGGGGAGCAAACGGGAUUAGAUACCCCGGUAGUC